Toxorhynchites rutilus septentrionalis is the source of this 556-nucleotide long non-coding RNA. RefSeq lists it as uncharacterized. NCBI's taxonomy places the organism in Eukaryota, Metazoa, Arthropoda, Insecta, Diptera, Culicidae. The record is from RefSeq and is a predicted model, not a curated record. The transcript has 3 exons.
GUGGAAGAGGCAAAGCGGACUAUUUUUGAAUCCGCGAGUUUUCUAUCGAAAGUGUUAUAAUUUAGAUAGAUAAGUUAGUUAAUGUGUAGAUACCCUGCUGUGCAUCCGUCAGAUUUAAAUAAGGAAGAGCCGCUCUUGACCCCACGACCAUCGCUGGAAACGAGCCGCACGUUGGAAAGGUGACCGCGCAAUACUUCAUCAAGCGCAGACAUCACGCGUAGAUUGAUGGAGAUUGAGCAUUCAUCGGUAUUCAUCAUCCACUUCCCCACGCACCAAGAAGCCGCCGGCUAUUCUCCUGAAAAAAGGUUGUGAGUACUCACUUGUUAUCGACUAACACAUGCGCAUGUAGAGUUGAAGAUAGAAUGAACGCCACACAAAUAACAAUGCCCUAGAACAAGACCACACAAGAUAAGCAUGCUUAAAAUAGAGCAAUAGCCGACGACGAGCAGAUACCGUCGGUAUUGCAGAAAAUGCACAGAAGAUGAAGAGAUAGGCUAGAUAGUAAAGCAGAGAAUUGCUAAUCCCAUGGGUAGAGGUUCGAAACCAAAUCUAUUAA